Molecule: ribosomal RNA, 464 nt
Filed under: uncultured bacterium
Lineage: Bacteria
Description: partial 16S ribosomal RNA
Rfam family: Bacterial small subunit ribosomal RNA
Source: RNAcentral
GACGAACGCUGGCGGCGUGCUUAACACAUGCCAGUCGAACGGUAAGGCCCCUUCGGGGGUACACGAGUGGCGAACGGGUGAGUAACACGUGGGUGAUCUGCCCUGCACUUCGGGAUAAGCCUGGGAAACUGGGUCUAAUACCGGAUAGGACCACGCUCUGCAUGGAGUGUGGUGGAAAGCUUUUGCGGUGUGGGAUGGGCCCGCGGCCUAUCAGCUUGUUGGUGGGGUGAUGGCCUACCAAGGCGACGACGGGUAGCCGGCCUGAGAGGGUGUCCGGCCACACUGGGACUGAGAUACGGCCCAGACUCCUACGGGAGGCAGCAGUGGGGAAUAUUGCACAAUGGGCGCAAGCCUGAUGCAGCGACGCCGCGUGGGGGAUGACGGCCUUCGGGUUGUAAACCUCUUUCAGUACCGACGAAGCGCAAGUGACGGUAGGUACAGAAGAAGCACCGGCCAACUACGUG